Molecule: non-coding RNA, 104 nt
Organism: Acanthosepion pharaonis
Lineage: Eukaryota; Metazoa; Mollusca; Cephalopoda; Sepiida; Sepiidae
Source: the annotation of a GenBank genome assembly
ACAGCCACGUCAGGUUGAAACACCGGUUCCCGUAUGAUCACUGAAGUUAAGCAACGUCGAGCCUGAUCAAUACCAAGAUGGGUGAUCGCUUGUGAAUAUCAUCU